This 228-nucleotide ribosomal RNA is filed under the name uncultured bacterium. RNAcentral's name for it is "partial 16S ribosomal RNA". It matches the Rfam family "Bacterial small subunit ribosomal RNA", at positions 524 to 748 of the family's 1533-position model. The record is from RNAcentral.
GACGAACCGUGCGAACGUUAUUCGGAAUCACUGGCUUAAAGCGCGUGUAGGCGGCUAAGUAAGUCGGGCGAUGAAAUCCCCACGGCCUCAACCGUGGAAGUGCACGUCGAAACUGCAUAGCUAGAGUCCUGGAGAGGAAGGUGGAAUGCUUGGUGUAGAGGUGAAAUUCGUAGAUAUCAGGAGGAACACCAGUGGCGAAGGCGGCUUUCUGGACGGUAACUGACGCUG